GUCUUAGUAAUCAUUUAUCAAUGUUUUCAUAUAUCUACAAAAGCAAUAAAAAUGUCUUAUGACACAGAGCAUAACCGAGAGUCAAGAUGUACGUGUGUGUUUUAAUUUACGUGCUGUUAUUUUUUUAAUGCCAGUUUUCUCUAUUCCUUAUUUCUUUGGAUUAUUAUUCUCUAUUGUUAAUAUUUUAGCAUCCCAUGAUUCUUUCAAUUUUUUUGCCAUUUUUCUCCCUUUAUUCUAUAUUUUUCAGUAAACAUUAUUUAGACCUUCAAAUAUUCCCUCUGUUGCAUUGUUUUACAUGUCUUUAUCUGUAUCUUGCAUAACACUGUAUUUUUUAUGUUUUCAAUAGACAAUCGAAUUACUGUUUGGUGACAUUCAACUCGGCCGAUUCCGUACACUAAUCUAACGAUAGAAGGAGAGUAGCGGAUUUUACCGAGGAUUGCCGAGUGUGUUUGAUGACUGUCACAUGGUAUUACUUUAAGCAUA
Molecule: long non-coding RNA, 483 nt
Filed under: Mytilus galloprovincialis (Mediterranean mussel)
Lineage: Eukaryota; Metazoa; Mollusca; Bivalvia; Mytilida; Mytilidae
Source: RNAcentral